Molecule: long non-coding RNA, 1158 nt
Organism: Gallus gallus (chicken)
Lineage: Eukaryota; Metazoa; Chordata; Aves; Galliformes; Phasianidae
Source: Ensembl
CUGUGAUACAGAAUGCCAGACAGAGCUUUCAUUGAGUGCAAGGAAGGCUAUGGAUGACCUAUGCAGAUAUGACAAGAUUCACAUUGUGUCUAAAGGAUGAUCUGGCUUCAUCCUCGUGUUCUGUCUUAGAGGUGAAAGUCCUUGCCUUGUCUAUCCUUUCAGCCAAAGUAUAACUCAUUUUUGGGUUUAAAAAAUACUAUCUGACUAGUAAAUGGCUUUUUGGUGUCUUCUCAGUUUCUGACUUUGGGUUUUCUAAAAGAAUGAAUUUAAGCCUUGCUGGUCAAGGGUCCCAUCCCAAGUGGAACUUAGCAGUAGUAGUCUCGUAUAUGUCGCCAUUGAAUUUGUGGCUGUCUGCUCACUGUUUUAUACAUCCAUGAAGAUUGCUUUCACUGUGGCUCUGUUUGCAGAACAGAGGAAAUCCAGGAUUUAAGACUCAUCCCUUCUACCUGCUCUUUUUACCAGAACAGUUGUCUUCAACAUGUAUCCUAAAUUGUUCAAGAUUGUCAGUGGAUUUCACUUUAGGUAGGAAAUUAAUAUGCUAUCACUGAUCUAUGCACAUUCCAUGCAAGUUCAAGUCACUCUAGCAGCCUUACUAAAGAGAUGUGUUAGUUCCAACCACUGAAACUUCAUGCUCAACUUUACCAACCGUUGUCCUAUUGCAGAAGCGCUGCAUCUGAAAGGAGACCCUCCAUGCUUAGGAAGCUAAGAUCUUAUUUGACUUAAGUUAAGUGAGAGGCGUAAUGGAAUAUUGCUUGGAGACACGUGCAUUGUGAAAGUGCUUAACAAACAUGAAAAGGAGAAAAAGCAAUUAUGAAUGACUGAAGUAUCAAGAAACAUAGUCUAUGGUUAUUCACUACCAUUUUUCAUUUUUCUCCUUUUAAAGGCUCUGCAAAUAAGUGGAAUGAUGUCUGUCCACUAUGAGUAAUAAAAGGAUAAACUUGCAUCUCUUUUUCAUCUGUGAAAGGAAUGUGAAAGGAAGGACAGUGCACAUGUGACUUUCAGUGACUGCAAAGACAAGUCUCCAGUCUCAAGCUUGUGUGCAGUAUUAGCUUUUGCAGCAUGUCCUGAAAAUUACUGCCAAGCAGACUCUUCUUCCUUUCUUUGGCUUACUCUGAUUUUCUUCUAGCUAUCUCUUUUUUUUUUUUUAAUAUAAUUCCA